Impatiens glandulifera is the source of this 1939-nucleotide long non-coding RNA. RefSeq lists it as uncharacterized. Lineage: Eukaryota; Viridiplantae; Streptophyta; Magnoliopsida; Ericales; Balsaminaceae. The record is from RefSeq and is a predicted model, not a curated record. The transcript is spliced from 7 exons.
CUGUGAGAAUUAUAGAGAGAGUAUUCCAACAGUCCAUUGACUAACCAUCCUCUCUCUCUCCCAACCUCUUCAUCUCCCAUUGACGAACCAUCCUCUAUCUCCCAACCUCUUCAUCUCCCAUUGACGAACCUGCACAGCGGAGAAGAAAAAUGACAAAUCUAGGUGAGCGACCUCGUACGGGCAUUGAUAAAGAUCGUCUUAUUUACUCCUAAUGUUUCACAAAAGGAAGCAGGAAUCUAUCUAAAAGGUGUUGACAAAUUAAUGUGCGAUUCAAGCUCAAUUUGUUCCAAAUUCAGAUGGAAAGUCAAUUUAACUUAUUCAGGGAUGCCCAAUCCCAAUGGAAGACGAUGUCGGUAAUGCUUUGUUUCUUUAAUGAGGUUAUGUUUGGCUAGGUGUUUCAAGGGAGCAAUUGUCUAUAAAUUUGGACGAGGAGACACAUUAUAUGUAUUUUAUUUAUGUAUUUUGUUUGAUCUCUUUGGUCAUAUUCGUUAACUUCUUUUUCUUUGCUUCUAAUGUUGAUUCCUCACCUCUUCAAGUAUUAGUCUACAAGGUGUUCGACAAAAUGCUCACAAGAACAUCUUCUUUGUCUUCAGCUGGUUAUGCUUAUAUCUAUAAGUUUUCUUCUUCAUAGUAUUACCUCUGUUUUAGUUUUCUAUUUGAUUUCAUAUUGACUGGUUCAUUUUCUGUUUUGUAUGUUCUUUUCCAUUUGUGCAGGUUAUAAAAGUUUAUUUAGAUAAAUAAAUAUUCAUUUUGUCCUAAGUAUUUAUCUCAUAUUACUCUAGGUUUCGUACCUUGAACUCCCUAAUUAUGUAUGAAAAUAAGAUCUAACAUCCAUUCAUUCACCUAUUUUGCUAAAGAAAUGCAAACUAUGAAGAACCCAUAUUACUGGAAUUCAUGCAGGUCCUUGCUAUCACCUUAUGCAGUUGGCAGACUUUGUCAAAUAUCUUUUGGAAAAAGCUGGUGGAAUGAUUAAUCUGACAGAUAUAUAUUGUCUCUUCAAUCGAGCAUGUGGUACUGGUAUGUGCUUUGAUGUUUGUCUGAGUAAUUUAUUCAUUAUUUUCCUGCAUUCAAUUUCCAUUAUUUGUGAUCGAAACAAUAUAAGAAAGUGAAUAUCAGAAUUGGCUCUCUUCUAUUCAGAGUUGAUCUCACUAGAUGACCUACUACAAGCAUGUUCAAUUUAGGAGAAGUUCGACAUGUAAAGAUUUAUUUACCUUGAAAGCUAUCCAUGUUCUUGUGAAUAUCUCUAAUAAAAUUUAGCCUAGUUCUAACCAUGAGUUUCAUAUUACAGUGUAAAAGUCAUAAUUACUUCAGGUAAAUUCUAGAUUUCAAUAGUACUUUUAUUGUUCCUUAGUCCUUUAAAUUCUUAAAUUUGAUAUACAUUUUUGUAUUUUCUAUUUGAUUUGUAGUCUUGUUAUGCUUCAGAAAUUUGAUAGUGGUGUCAUGGUGAUCCAGAAUAAGUCCCACAGUGAUGAGAAGGAAGGCAUUUAGAAAGAACAUACAAUGUUUAUCACCUGAAGAAAAAACAAGUUUACAAGCGAUAGUAUUUAAACCAAAACCAACAAAUUGUAGGAGUAUUCAUGACUCAUUAUAAUCUCUUCAAAGGUUAAUCAAUAUAGAUCUCCAAAGAACCUGAAUGAGUGUCUAAUUCUUUCUACUUCCAGUAAUUUGACAAAUCUUGAAAACGGGGAAUUUGAAUUUCACUCAACCUCGCAUAUUAUUCCAAGUGUUGUAAAUCACAAUGAAUCUGAAAAUAUUGAUGUUGAGGAAUUGCAUAAAUUCAACUUCAAUAAAGACCUAGAAGAAGAUAAGAUUUUUUUUUUCAAGAGAAUUAAGGUUUAACUAGUUCACUAGUCAUAUUUUGUAUAUGUUACAGAAAGAAAUGUAAUAUAUAAUAAUAUGAGGAUAUAUUUUUGUAUUAAAAAUAUUUAUUUUGAGCUCC